CCCCCCCGGGCGCCCGGUGAAGCCGGGUCUCUCGAGGCCCCAGCCGGGCUUCGUCGUCCUCCGGGGCCGGCUCGGCGUCGCCUCGGCUGCCCCCGGGGCUCGGCAGCGGCUGGAAGACGUUUAGGCCAAAGUCGGGGAGCUGCAGGCCCCGUCCGACUUCCGCUUCUCGGGUCUCAGGGGGCGUUGUAGCCUUCGUGGCCCUGCUCAGUCGUGUCCCCCAAAAUUUUCCCUGAGGUGGAAGAGAUGAGCGCAAGAAAGUUUGAAGCCAUUGAAGAUUUUCCGCUUUUCUUUGCAUAGGAGAGCCGAUCUUUCACAUAUAGUCUUCAUCUGUCAGAGCUUAGAAGAAGGUGAAAAGGCAACCAAAUUGGGAGACACUGCUCUGGAAUAAUGAGUCGGAGCAGUACUGCUGCACACUGGAAUCACAUUCUAGAAAAGCAGACACGAUUUGCUAGAACAGUUUUGUAACAGAGUCACUCCCAAGGUACGGAGGAAUGCUGAAGGUCAUUGGGAGCAGCACAUAGCACAUUUUCCUUUCCUGAGGAAAGCUGUUAAGAAGGAGCAAGAUUUGAAAGGUACAUCCUAAACCUUCUCUACACCAAGGAUAGGCAGUGAGCUAGAAAAGUUCAUGGCCAGUGUAAGAACAGGUGUAAUUUUACCCUCAGUCUGCACCAAGGCCAUUAUUAAAAAAACUGAAUUAGUUGUUCCUGAUUGGCUCCCUGAAUGCCCUUAACAGCACCACUGAACAAAUGUAUGUUUAACUGUGUGUGAAGCUGGUGUCGGUUUGCAGAUGUCAACCAUGCUGCUGUGAAUUUACAUCCAUCCCACUGUUAAGAGCAGAGAGCUAAUCUCACACAUAUUCCAGAUGAUCUUGUUGUCAUAUCGUACAUUCAACUGUUAAAAGGAGAAGCAAACCAAAGGAUUGACUCUUCAGACAACAGGUUCAUGAUUUAUCCCUGGAAAUUUUCCUAUACUCCAGUAUUCUCCUCUCUAAACUCCUUUGAGUGGCUAGCCAUCCAGGCUGAAUUCAAUUUUACCAGUGUUUUUGCAUGAUUCAGUUCUUUGUCGCACAAAUCAGCUUUGGGCUGCUUCGGUCUGAGAUAAAUAGCAGUGAGAGCUUUCUCUGCAGAUGUGGUGUGUCUCGUAACAGGUUGUCGUGGCUUGCCUACCUUUGUCCUUUUCACAUCUCAUUCUCUAUUUCCUGGGACAUCCUGGUGCACCAGGGAUAUUCUCAGCAGAAGUACGGAUCACCAAACACGCAUGCUUGCCUUUCAUUGCCAACCUCCACGAGAAUGGAUUUUCAGCACAGCACCAGUCUUUUUGUGAAAUGUGAUGUUCUGGGCCUUUUAGUUAUUUGACAAAUUCGGUACUGUCAGUUUUGUUUCUUAAAGAAACUCAGUAGUAACCUAGAGAUGCCCAAGUUUGAUGUUUUCAUUGUAAUUGUCAAGUGCUGAUGGAUAAAUUUGUUUUGUUCAGACACAAGUUUUUUGUUUAUUUGUUUGUUUUUGAAUAAAAUGUAAUUAUAGUCAGGGGAACACUUUCAGCUAAGUUUGGGUGACUUUUGAAGCUGGUCAUUGUGGUAUUUCAGGCACUGAAGGAUCUCAGGGUGUGGUUGAGCCCUGCCUUCUCUUCUGUGUGUGAAGCUUUAGGUGUUAUUUGAUUGAGAAAUACCUGAAAUGUCCUGUUGUUCUGUG
Long non-coding RNA from Cygnus olor (mute swan), 1691 nucleotides. RefSeq lists it as uncharacterized. Lineage: Eukaryota; Metazoa; Chordata; Aves; Anseriformes; Anatidae. The record is from RefSeq and is a predicted model, not a curated record. The transcript is spliced from 3 exons.